UUUGAGAAAAACUAAGAUUAAACAUCCUACAUGUUUCCAGGAAAAAGGAAAAACAUUGGAAAACAAUUUUAGCCUAAGGUUUGAGAAUAAAGCCAAUGGUCCUCUAUUAAGGCUAACUGUGUAUAUUGCCUUUGUGGACUGCAAGCUGAACUUACAGAUUUAUAUGGACUUUACUUACAGGUUUCCUGUGCUGUUUUGCUCCAUUUUACUGAACAAAAUAAGGCUGAGGUAGCACCAUCCUUGUGGUUAGAGUGAAAGAAUGUGGGUAUUGAGACCAAAAUAAACAAUGUGCCAUUCUGGACAAACAGCUGUGGACAAUAUAUGCAGUCAGAGUAGCCUAUUUUCUCACACAGACCUGAAGAUAAGAUUUCCAGUUUAAAAGUGAAGAAAAUGAAUCAUUAUUAACAGCAAUUAGGAGUAUUUCUCAGCUGAAAAGCCAGGUGAAACUAUAAGGUCACUAUGAUUUACUUUCAUAUUAUCAUUCUUUUCAGAUUUUUUUCCCUGUGGUUUUUUUUGUUAGAUGAGGAGCAACCAGUAAGAAAAAGCAAAAAUAUGUUUUGAUGUUGCCUGAGGCACCUUAUUUUCCAUUUCAUGCACAAUCACAAAUGCAGCACAUCAAUCAAUUUCUUCCAACCAGCGAAUCAAGAAAUCUUGGAGUGGAGAAUCAUUCUGAAAGUAGACCAAAUCCAGGACAUCAUCACAGCAGUGGUCGGAAAAAUGCAGCAAGCCAAGCUGACUUUCAAAAGAUGAUUCGUUAUCUGUUUCUUCAGAGGGGAGGCAGUUUGGGAGAUGGGAAUUAGGACGAUGCUACAGUUACACAGGGCAAAUUUCAGCAGCUCAGGUUCAAAC
Molecule: long non-coding RNA, 849 nt
Organism: Paramisgurnus dabryanus
Lineage: Eukaryota; Metazoa; Chordata; Actinopteri; Cypriniformes; Cobitidae
Source: RefSeq, a predicted model, not a curated record